Molecule: long non-coding RNA, 1224 nt
Filed under: Marmota monax (woodchuck)
Lineage: Eukaryota; Metazoa; Chordata; Mammalia; Rodentia; Sciuridae
Source: RNAcentral
UCAUAGGGCUAAAGGAUCCUUAAUAAAUCCUUUAAUUCAGCUCAUCUUUGUACAAUCCCUAUGUAACAAAUAUUUACAAAGUACCUACUGAGUGCCACAUAUAGUGCUAAACGACAGAUCCCUACCCACAUUACAGUUACAAAUUAGUGGACUAACUAAGCCAUCAGGCCUCUUGAAAUCCUUUCUGAAUAGGACAAGGAAUAGCAAAUUAAUGGUGAAAAAUACCCAUGCAGUGUUCUGCUGGCAUAUAUAUGUGAUCACAUUUAAUCCUUUAACAGUCCUGGGGGAGGCAGUAGUUAUAUUGCCCGUUCACCUGUAGCUACAAGUAUGUAAUUUUAAAUGAAGCAUAAUGCAGUUCAGUGACUUGCUCAAGAUCCUCUACCUAGCAGGUAGAAUAGUUGAUAUUUGAACUUGGACAGCCUGGCCCAAAGGCUCUCUCUAGUCUAUACUCUUCAGUCACCACACUAUAAAUUCCAAGCCACCCUGACUGUAGUCUGCUCAUUUGGAGUACCAAAGACAAGUGGACUAGCCUGGCAGGUAAGGGCAACAGGACAUUCUUGGCCAACAGAGCAGAAAACGAUAUUCAGCACUGAGUGCUGGAACGACAGAGACGAAAGGAAUAACACUGCAGGCAAACAAAGGUCAAGACUUGGCCUGUCUCAGCAGCUCACAGAUGGUGACAAUGAAUCCACAGCAGGGUGGCAGGCAGAGCUGGGAUCUCCAGGAGAGCUGGCCCUUGCUCUCUGACAACAGCAGGCACACAGCAUGGUGCUGGCUGGACAGAGGCAGGGAGCAAAACCCCCCAUGCUCUUAUUCCCUGCUGCACAGAGGAUGCUCAGCCUGCACCUCCACUCCUGAUACAGAGGCCUGGGAGGGCUCUUUCUCUUGUACCUUUGGGGUCUCUCCCCUGCCAGCUACCUUCACCAGUUGGCAGAACUCCAUCCCCCAACCAACCCCUGGAGAACUCACACACCUGAGUAUUAUCAUGCUGUGCUCCUAUGCCUCUUGAGUACUCAGCUCUCAAACCCAGCCUUCAAGCAGGACACUUUAGAAACAACUGAUAAGUCAGGGCUCCCUGUGGCAGUCCAGAGCUUCUCACACUCCCCUCACCUCUGAAACGCAGAGGACUUUGGACUUUGAUAUGCCCAUCAGGCCAAAAGCACUUCUCUUCUUCCCAAUGAAUUCAAAUCUGGGAUCAAAUACAGUCAUGAGGCACAUGAUGAC